RNAcentral lists this long non-coding RNA (422 nucleotides) under Pan paniscus (pygmy chimpanzee). RNAcentral describes it as "lncRNA (ENSPPAG00000044934.1)". The record is from RNAcentral. Lineage: Eukaryota; Metazoa; Chordata; Mammalia; Primates; Hominidae.
AGUAAACUCUGGCAACUGGCGAAUUUUAUGUUAUGACCACCCAAUUUAGGAAUCCGUAGUAUUUACUCAGUGAUAUAAGUUUAUAUAAUUAUGCAUUAGCCCCCAUAAGAAUCAAAGACUUAUAAGAAAAGGAGCCUCAAGUCCCAUUCAUGUCUGACAAAUUUUAUUUUGAGAAUCACUGCUUUAGAACUAUCUGCCCCUAUUACUUGCCUGACGCUAUUCUUGGAGCAACAAGUACUUAGUGCCAGGCAUCUUGAAACGUCAGUGUGCAGUUAUCUAAUCAUAUUGAUAUUCUGGUGGUGAUUAACAUGUUAUAUAAUCUUUCUGUGCCUUUCUUGAUGGGGUCAGAUUCUACACCACACAAGUCACAGAAUUCCAAAAAGCUAUUGUGAGAAUAAAGCUAAAGCCAACAAAAGGAUGAG